GGAGAGCUGGCCGAGUGGUCUAAGGCGCAGCACUGGAAAUGCUGUGUACGGGGAACCGUACCGAGGGUUCGAAUCCCUCGCUCUCCG
This 87-nucleotide transfer RNA is filed under the name Deltaproteobacteria bacterium. RNAcentral's name for it is "tRNA-Ser". It matches the Rfam family "tRNA". Rfam says of the family: Transfer RNA (tRNA) molecules are approximately 80 nucleotides in length. The record is from RNAcentral. Lineage: Bacteria; Pseudomonadati; Myxococcota; Myxococcia.